Molecule: long non-coding RNA, 447 nt
Filed under: Mus musculus (house mouse)
Lineage: Eukaryota; Metazoa; Chordata; Mammalia; Rodentia; Muridae
Description: predicted gene, 47162
Source: RNAcentral
CACUAAUUCCUGGUCAACUAUGGAAAUCUGUUUCUUCUCUAGUCCCCCCAAGGAGAAAUGUCACACCGAGUGUCCAACACAGUGAUCCUCAAAUAUACUUCUAAGCAAAACAAGGGCUUUGUUUACUCAGUCUUCAGAUUUUACUGUUCUGAAUUUUAUUCUGAAACUCAAGUUUACCCCAAACCAUCAUUGACAUAGUAGCUUCUUUGCCGCCAGGGCCAUCUUUCACUUUGAAGGCAAAAAUGCCACCGAUUUUCUUCACGAACUGUUCCCCUUCCUCUUCAAGCUUCUUCUCAAUCUCCUUAAAGACGAGGUUUGCCUUGAAUCCAUCCCCUGCAGAGCUGGUGGGAGCAGCUGAAACCUGGUGCGUCCUGAAGGAGCUGGCAGCUUCGGGAAAACCCAUCCUGUAGAGGGUGACAACCACAGCUCCUCCGAGGCCUAGAUUGU